Molecule: ribosomal RNA, 600 nt
Filed under: Bifidobacterium pseudocatenulatum
Lineage: Bacteria; Bacillati; Actinomycetota; Actinomycetes; Bifidobacteriales; Bifidobacteriaceae
Description: bacterial SSU rRNA
Rfam family: Bacterial small subunit ribosomal RNA
Source: RNAcentral
GAUUAAUUCGAUGCAACGCGAAGAACCUUACCUGGGCUUGACAUGUUCCCGACCGCGGCAGAGAUGUCGUUUCCCUUCGGGGCGGGUUCACAGGUGGUGCAUGGUCGUCGUCAGCUCGUGUCGUGAGAUGUUGGGUUAAGUCCCGCAACGAGCGCAACCCUCGCCCUGUGUUGCCAGCACGUCAUGGUGGGAACUCACGGGGGACCGCCGGGGUCAACUCGGAGGAAGGUGGGGAUGACGUCAGAUCAUCAUGCCCCUUACGUCCAGGGCUUCACGCAUGCUACAAUGGCCGGUACAACGGGAUGCGACACGGCGACGUGGAGCGGAUCCCUGAAAACCGGUCUCAGUUCGGAUUGGAGUCUGCAACCCGACUCCAUGAAGGCGGAGUCGCUAGUAAUCGCGGAUCAGCAACGCCGCGGUGAAUGCGUUCCCGGGCCUUGUACACACCGCCCGUCAAGUCAUGAAAGUGGGUAGCACCCGAAGCCGGUGGCCUAACCCUUUGUGGAUGGAGCCGUCUAAGGUGAGACUCGUGAUUGGGACUAAGUCGUAACAAGGUAGCCGUACCGGAAGGUGCGGCUGGAUCACCUCCUUUCUACGGAG